RNAcentral lists this ribosomal RNA (433 nucleotides) under Pseudomonas sp. RNAcentral's name for it is "bacterial SSU rRNA". It matches the Rfam family "Bacterial small subunit ribosomal RNA", at positions 71 to 500 of the family's 1533-position model. Lineage: Bacteria; Pseudomonadati; Pseudomonadota; Gammaproteobacteria; Pseudomonadales; Pseudomonadaceae. The record is from RNAcentral.
CAGAGAAGCUUGCUUCUCUUGAGAGCGGCGGACGGGUGAGUAAUGCCUAGGAAUCUGCCUGGUAGUGGGGGAUAACGUUCGGAAACGGACGCUAAUACCGCAUACGUCCUACGGGAGAAAGCAGGGGACCUUCGGGCCUUGCGCUAUCAGAUGAGCCUAGGUCGGAUUAGCUAGUUGGUGGGGUAAUGGCUCACCAAGGCGACGAUCCGUAACUGGUCUGAGAGGAUGAUCAGUCACACUGGAACUGAGACACGGUCCAGACUCCUACGGGAGGCAGCAGUGGGGAAUAUUGGACAAUGGGCGAAAGCCUGAUCCAGCCAUGCCGCGUGUGUGAAGAAGGUCUUCGGAUUGUAAAGCACUUUAAGUUGGGAGGAAGGGUUGUAGAUUAAUACUCUGCAAUUUUGACGUUACCGACAGAAUAAGCACCGGCUAA